Molecule: small nucleolar RNA, 72 nt
Filed under: Periophthalmus magnuspinnatus
Lineage: Eukaryota; Metazoa; Chordata; Actinopteri; Gobiiformes; Gobiidae
Source: RNAcentral
CUGGAUAUGAUGCAUCAUUCAUAAAUACCUGAUUGUAUGUGAAGGUGUUUGUAUUCAUACUGUCUGAUCCAA